Molecule: ribosomal RNA, 292 nt
Filed under: uncultured bacterium
Lineage: Bacteria
Description: partial 16S ribosomal RNA
Source: RNAcentral
GGACUACUGGGGUUUCUAAUCCUGUUUGCUCCCCACGCUUUCGUGCCUGAGCGUCAGUGUUAUCCCAGGGGGCUGCCUUCGCCAUCGGUAUUCCUCCACAUCUCUACGCAUUUCACUGCUACACGUGGAAUUCUACCCCCCUCUGACACACUCUAGCCUUCCAGUCUCAACGGCCAUUCCUAGGUUAAGCCCAGGUAUUUCACCGCUGACUUAGAAAACCGCCUGCGCACCCUUUACGCCCAGUAAUUCCGAUUAACGCUCGCACCCUACGUAUUACCGCGGCUGCUGGCAC